UGAGUCAGCCAGGCAGUCGCCGCAGCCAUCAGGUUGGGGAGGAAAGUCCGGGCUCCAUAGGGUAAGACGCCAGGUAACGCCUGGGGGGCGCAAGCCUACGGAAAGUGCAGCAGAGAGUAGACCGCCUAAGCAGAUUUUUCUGCCGGUAAGGGUGAAAGGGUGCGGUAAGAGCGCACCGCAUGCGUGGUAACACGUCAUGGCAUGGUAAACCCCGUCUGGAGCAAGACCAAAUAGGAAUCCUAUAGGUGUGUACCCGCACUGGAUUCGGGUAGGUUGCUUGAGGUGUGCAGUGAUGUACACCCUAGAUGAAUGACUGUCCAAGACAGAACCCGGCUUAUCGGCUGACUCACAUU
RNAcentral lists this RNase P RNA (353 nucleotides) under Simiduia agarivorans. RNAcentral's name for it is "RNase P RNA component class A". It matches the Rfam family "Bacterial RNase P class A". From Rfam's summary of the family: Ribonuclease P (RNase P) is a ubiquitous endoribonuclease, found in archaea, bacteria and eukarya as well as chloroplasts and mitochondria. Lineage: Bacteria; Pseudomonadati; Pseudomonadota; Gammaproteobacteria; Cellvibrionales; Cellvibrionaceae. RNAcentral also lists the same sequence under 2 other names. The record is from RNAcentral.